This is a small nuclear RNA of Chiloscyllium plagiosum (whitespotted bambooshark), 105 nucleotides long. NCBI's taxonomy places the organism in Eukaryota, Metazoa, Chordata, Chondrichthyes, Orectolobiformes, Hemiscylliidae. The record is from RefSeq and is a predicted model, not a curated record.
ACAAUCUUGGCAGCACAUUGACUAAAAUUGCAAUGAUAUAGAGAAGAUUGGGAAUGGCCCCUGCACAAGGAUGACUCACACUAUUGUGAAGUGAUCCAUAUUAGG